UGGUGGGUAGUUUGACUGGGGCGGUCUCCUCCCAAAGAGUAACGGAGGAGCACGAAGGUUAGCUAAUCCUGGUCGGACAUCAGGAGGUUAGUGCAAUGGCAUAAGCUAGCUUGACUGCGAGAGUGACGGCUCGAGCAGGUGCGAAAGCAGGUCAUAGUGAUCCGGUGGUUCUGAAUGGAAGGGCCAUCGCUCAACGGAUAAAAGGUACUCCGGGGAUAACAGGCUGAUACCGCCCAAGAGUUCAUAUCGACGGCGGUGUUUGGCACCUCGAUGUCGGCUCAUCACAUCCUGGGGCUGAAGUAGGUCCCAAGGGUAUGGCUGUUCGCCAUUUAAAGUGGUACGCGAGCUGGGUUUAGAACGUCGUGAGACAGUUCGGUCCCUAUCUGCCGUGGGCGCUGGAGAAUUGAGGGGGGCUGCUCCUAGUACGAGAGGACCGGAGUGGACGCAUCACUGGUGUUCGGGUUGUCAUGCCAAUGGCACUGCCCGGUAGCUAAAUGCGGAAAAGAUAAGUGCUGAAAGCAUCUAAGCACGAAACUUGCC
RNAcentral lists this ribosomal RNA (540 nucleotides) under Enterobacter cloacae. Its description in RNAcentral is "partial 23S ribosomal RNA". It matches the Rfam family "Bacterial large subunit ribosomal RNA", at positions 2259 to 2798 of the family's 2925-position model. The record is from RNAcentral. RNAcentral also lists the same sequence under 2 other names. Lineage: Bacteria; Pseudomonadati; Pseudomonadota; Gammaproteobacteria; Enterobacterales; Enterobacteriaceae.